GUAUUACGUUGCGUUAAACGCGGCAUACAUUCCAUAGAACUUUAUUACAGUGUGUAUGUAUAAAUAUGCAGAACCACGGUUGGAGGACAGAGCCCCCGGACCAUAGAACUGCAGAGAGUGCACAGGUGUGAGUGGAUGUGUAAACAGAGCGUGCACAUGCCCCCAUCUGAGGGCCAGCAACAACUUCAUGUCGACAAUUCAGUAAUGAUCCUUCCGCAGGUUCACCUACGGAAA
RNAcentral lists this unclassified non-coding RNA (234 nucleotides) under uncultured fungus. Its description in RNAcentral is "sequence contains ITS1". The record is from RNAcentral. Lineage: Eukaryota; Fungi.